Long non-coding RNA from Glycine soja, 236 nucleotides. RefSeq lists it as uncharacterized. The transcript has 2 exons. The record is from RefSeq and is a predicted model, not a curated record. NCBI's taxonomy places the organism in Eukaryota, Viridiplantae, Streptophyta, Magnoliopsida, Fabales, Fabaceae.
UGCAUCUGAAUUUGCAAGGAUUUCAUCAAAAUUUGCAACCCCUUCUUGGUUUUCAACCUGCCACAUACAUUUGAAGUAACAGACAGAAUAAGUGACCAGAAACAGAUCCAGAAUCACUUAUCUUUUCCAUAAAAGAGAACGCAACACGACAUACCUUAGACAUGAGCAUAAUGUUCUUGGCAUGUUUUCCCAGAACUUUCCUGACUUCCACCAGGUCAGAACCUUUUCGAACAAAA